UAUGAAGAACGUAGCGAAAUGCGAUAAGUAGUGUGAAUUGCAGAAUUCAGUGAAUCAUCGAAUCUUUGAACGCACAUUGCGCCCCAUGGUAUUCCGUGGGGCAUGCCUGUUCGAGCGUCAUUUACCCCCUCAAGCUCCGCUUGGUGUUGGGCGUCUGUCCCGCUUCGCGCGCGGACUCGCCCCAAAGGUAUUGGCAGCGGUCGUGCCAGCUUCUCGCGCAGCACAUUGCGCUUCUCGAGGCACCGGUGGGCCCGCGUCCAUCAAGCUCACCCCCCCAGUUUGACCUCGGAUCAGGUAGGGAUACCCGCUGAACUUAAGCAUAUCAAUAAGCGGAGGA
This 337-nucleotide unclassified non-coding RNA is filed under the name soil metagenome. Its description in RNAcentral is "partial contains 5.8S ribosomal RNA, internal transcribed spacer 2, and large subunit ribosomal RNA". The stretch from base 2 to 120 matches the Rfam family "5.8S ribosomal RNA", at positions 36 to 154 of the family's 154-position model. The record is from RNAcentral.